RNAcentral lists this unclassified non-coding RNA (249 nucleotides) under Umbelopsis sp. Its description in RNAcentral is "partial contains 5.8S ribosomal RNA, internal transcribed spacer 2, and large subunit ribosomal RNA". The record is from RNAcentral. Lineage: Eukaryota; Fungi; Mucoromycota; Umbelopsidomycetes; Umbelopsidales; Umbelopsidaceae.
AACGCAUAUUGCGCCCCCUGGCAUUCCGGGGGGCAUGCCUGUCCGAGCGUCAUUUCUGCCCUCAAGCACGGCUUGUGUGUUGGGUGUGGUCCCCCUGGGGACCUGCCCGAAAGGCAGCGGCGACGUCCGUCUGGUCCUCGAGCGUAUGGGGCUUUGUCACUCGCUCGGGAAGGACCUGCGGGGGUUGGUCACCACCAUAUUUUACCACGGUUGACCUCGGAUCAGGUAGGAGUUACCCGCUGAACUUAA